ACGGAAGGCAGCAGUGGGGAAUAUUGGACAAUGGGGGAAACCCUGAUCCAGCGACGCCGCGUGAGUGAAGAAGUAUUUCGGUAUGUAAAGCUCUAUCAGCAAGGAAGAAAAUGACGGUACUUGACUAAGAAGCUCCGGCUAAAUACGUGCCAGCAGCCGCGGUAAUACGUAUGGAGCAAGCGUUAUCCGGAUUUACUGGGUGUAAAGGGUGCGUAGGCGGCACGGCAAGUCAGAAGUGAAAUCCCAGGGCUCAACCCUGGAACUGCUUUUGAAACUGUCGAGCUAGAGUACAGGAGAGGUAAGCGGAAUUCCUAGUGUAGCGGUGAAAUGCGUAGAUAUUAGGAGGAACACCAGUGGCGAAGGCGGCUUACUGGACUGACACUGACGCUGAGGCACGAAAGCGUGGGGAGCAAACAGGAUUAGAUACCCUGGUA
Molecule: ribosomal RNA, 434 nt
Filed under: uncultured Lachnospiraceae bacterium
Lineage: Bacteria; Bacillati; Bacillota; Clostridia; Lachnospirales; Lachnospiraceae
Description: bacterial SSU rRNA
Rfam family: Bacterial small subunit ribosomal RNA
Source: RNAcentral